This 787-nucleotide ribosomal RNA is filed under the name bacterium SCS_30Z1_4_2. RNAcentral describes it as "bacterial SSU rRNA". It matches the Rfam family "Bacterial small subunit ribosomal RNA", at positions 131 to 928 of the family's 1533-position model. The record is from RNAcentral.
CGAAUUCCUCUACACUCGACUGGGAACUGGGUCUAAUACCGGAUAUGACUCCUCAUCGCAUGGUGGGGGGUGGAAAGCUUUAUUGUGGUUUUGGAUGGACUCGCGGCCUAUCAGCUUGUUGGUGAGGUAAUGGCUCACCAAGGCGACGACGGGUAGCCGGCCUGAGAGGGUGACCGGCCACACUGGGACUGAGACACGGCCCAGACUCCUACGGGAGGCAGCAGUGGGGAAUAUUGCACAAUGGGCGAAAGCCUGAUGCAGCGACGCCGCGUGAGGGAUGACGGCCUUCGGGUUGUAAACCUCUUUCAGUAGGGAAGAAGCGAAAGUGACGGUACCUGCAGAAGAAGCGCCGGCUAACUACGUGCCAGCAGCCGCGGUAAUACGUAGGGCGCAAGCGUUAUCCGGAAUUAUUGGGCGUAAAGAGCUCGUAGGCGGUUUGUCGCGUCUGCCGUGAAAGUCCGGGGCUCAACUCCGGAUCUGCGGUGGGUACGGGCAGACUAGAGUGAUGUAGGGGAGACUGGAAUUCCUGGUGUAGCGGUGAAAUGCGCAGAUAUCAGGAGGAACACCGAUGGCGAAGGCAGGUCUCUGGGCAUUAACUGACGCUGAGGAGCGAAAGCAUGGGGAGCGAACAGGAUUAGAUACCCUGGUAGUCCAUGCCGUAAACGUUGGGCACUAGGUGUGGGGGACAUUCCACGUUUUCCGUACCGUAGCUAACGCAUUAAGUGCCCCGCCUGGGGAGUACGGCCGCAAGGCUAAAACUCAAAGGAAUUGGCGGGGGGGAGCACAG